UUGAAAAUCAGAUUUAUUAUCAAGAAUUACUUCUUUAGGAUGAUCAUCAAAGUAAGAUGAAAUAUCAAAUUAUUCAUCAACCCAAAAUUCUUGGUUUUCAUAUGGAGUCUGUGUUCAGCAUGAAUGGAUUUUUGAAAAACAAAAAUAAUUGGGCAGAUACUUAAUUUUAGGUUAUGUGUAGUCAGGACUUAUUCUGCUAAAAACUCUUAAGGCCACAACAAAUUGAAGAUUUGUUCUACGGAUUUUUGCCCCCCAAAAAUGGAGCGAGCGAGCGAAAAAAAUAAAAUAAAAAAUUCUAUCUUUUGUUAAAUCACAGACGAGCGAAAAAUAAAAAAUACAUAUAUUGUCUAUGUAAAUUGAUGAAUUUUGCCAAAUAAAUGCACAAUAUCUGCAAAAUACCAGUACAGAUCAUUUAGAAGUAAUAACUGCAGGCUGUCAACUGGUCUUACUGUUUCCUACUUUUUUGAAUUUUCAUUAUUUUUUCCUACUUUUUCUUUAAAAACGCAUAUUAUUCAUACUUUUUGAUUUUGGUGGAUGUAAUAUUUAUGUGACUGAAAUCCCUAAUCAUUAUAAAAAAGUGUUUAAGUAUAUUUGAAGCUUGAUUGGUGCCAUUUCUACACUAUACAUGUAUAAUACUGAGCUUGAUGGGACCUGUAGCUGAGAAUGUGUGCCAUCAGUCCUCUCUACAUCAUUCUGUUGAAAGGUUGAUGCCACACAUCCAGUUCACAAGUCCCCAAGCUGUGCCGUUUCCUGUGACCAGAAAUUAUUGGUAAAAUUGAAUUGCAAUCCAAUGGUAAGUGUUUUAAACAUUACUACUAUUUGUGGAAUAUUCCUAUUUUUUCCUUUUUUUUUAUACUUUUUAAAGAAAAUUAUUCCUAUUUUUUUCCUACUUUUUAAAGAUUAUGACAGUUGACAGCCUGUAACUGAGGUUUACCGGUAGCUCUUAUCCAAUGUUUGUAAAAAUAAAUACAAACUGUAAAAAAAUGUCCAAUAGCUGUUCUGCUUACUCACACCAGGUAGUGAUUACUAAAAUUUAACAUGGUACACCGUAGUUUUCAUUAGCAAAGUUAUAUAAGAAGCUCAGUUUUCUGACAAUGAUGGUUUAAUAACAUGACACAAUAAGUAAUACAAUAAAUAUCAAGCAUAAGCAGUGAUUUUUCUUCGUGUUGUACUUUACAGCCUGUGCCUUUUUGAUUGGGGAUAAAGUGUGAUAAACCAUGAAAUUGUGAAAAUUGAAACAUUAUUAUUAGGAUUAUAAAUAAAAGUUUAUUUUAAAAGUUUGGUUUAUUUUUUUGGAAAUUUUGGCCAGAUUUUUUCGAAAAAAUGUUACUUUUUGCCAUUGGGAAACAGCCUUUUUUACUUUUUGUAAUUUGGACACAGCCUGUAAGAGGCUGUAAUUUUGGGCAAAAACAAAUACUGAUACAAAAUAUCUCGAAUUUGUAUUAGUUCUAAAUAUCAUAGGUUAUGAUAUUUUACAAUACUCGGUGCAUUGAUUUUGUUAGUUUAGCACUGUACAAAUUAGAGAUGAGAAGUUUAUGUUUUGUAAAGUAAAAAAAACCCAUAACUUCCCAAUGAAAGAAAAAGAAAAAAUAGGUAGUAAAAGUUUUGUGUUUAAAUAUAUAUAAAGUCCAUCAAAUCCAAGUAUAGUUGUUGAGGUCCAGAAAGUUUCUUCACUUUCGCACUAAUGUUAAAUUCAUGUUUUGGGAGCAUUAUGUACAUCUUGGACUUAGCCUUCAACAGUUCAAACUAAUACAUAGGAGUCUCAUACAUUCAAACUAAUAGAUAGGAGUCUCAUACAAUUCAAACUAAUAGAUAGGAGUCUCAUACAAUUCAAACUAAUAGAUAGGAGUCUUAUACAACAGUUCAAACUAAUAGAUAGAAGUCUCAUACAAUUUAAAUUAUAUUCGACACUCUUUGUCCAGUUCAACGGCGACAAUAAUUUGCAUGUUAAUGUUUAAUAUUUUAACUUAAUCAAUACCAACAAGUUUAUUGCAGAUUUCUACCAAACGUACGCAUAUCGGACACAUUUCACAUCCUGAUGUUGAUGCGGCUGAAAUAUAAAAUUACUAAAAUCAUCUGUGAUGCAACGACUCAUUGCCUUGAGGGAAAAUUAACAUUUCCAUUUGUGUCUUUGGCCGACAUGACAAUGCCAUUUUUUAUGCCCCCGGAUCGAAUGAUCGGGGCAUAUUGUUUUUGGCCUGUCUGUCUGUCUGUCAUUCUGUCCCAAAACUUUAACCUUGGUUAAAGUUUUGCGAUAACUUUUGAAAUAUUGAACAUAGCAACUUGAUAUUUAGCAUGCAUGUGUAUCUCAUUGAGCUGCACAUUUUGAGUGGUGAAAGGUCAAGGUCAUCCUUCAAGGUCAAAGGUCAAAGAAAAGAUCAAAGCAGCGCAUUAGGGGCAUUGUGUUUCUUACAAACGCAUCUCUUGUUUUACCAUAAACCAAUGUAAUAACGCAAAGCGUUAUUAAAGUCUAUGUCGUAAAAUACGUAGGCUAAAUUACACUUAAUCAUUUAAUAAAUAGGUGCAGCAAAUUUGUUGCUGCAUGCGCAAAAUAAAAAUAUUUUUAUUUCCUUUUAAGAUUUUUAGGUGCGGCAAAUCUGACGAACAUUUUAUCAGUUUGUUGUGGCCUAAGCUAAGCCUUUUGGCAUGAACUAGUCAGCUGUAUUUUGAUGCCCCUAUGGAGUGGGAGGCAUUGAGCAAUUCACUAGUCCGUCCAUCUUUCCAAAGGAAUGUCAGUAUUUACAUCUUGAAGAUUGUAUUUUGAACUCCUCUUAAACAACUGGGUUAAUUUGAAUAAGCUUUCAAGUUUGAAUUACCUCAACAGAUGAUUACAUGUAUGAAGAAAGGAAUUUUUGCUUUCACCAGUUUUGGAAUACUUAUGGCACUUUGUCUGUUUUUGAGAUAUGGAAGUUUUGUAUUUUCAACUCAUCUUUAACUGCAUGUCAGUUUUGCUCAAACUUUCACAGUUUAAUAACCUAUAUGUGUGGAUGCACCAAGGGGGCGAAUUAUAUAGUCGAGAUAUCAAAGACUGUUUUACACAUUCAAAGCUUACUGUGCGCAGGCUAUCCUAAUAUCAAACAAAAAAUCUGUCAAAGGGACCUUUGCAUGUUUUGAUAUAUCGACAAAAUUGAAAAAAUUGUUUCAGAUUUUAAAAUGUUUUUAUGUUUUUUUGCAUGGUAAAAGUAAUACUGAACGUUUACCUAGCUCUUACACAUCCAUUAUAUGCAUCUUUUGCCGAUUAAAAAACCUGAAAAUAAAAAAGUGAUAAAAACUUAAAAAGAUUGCAUGAUUUGGAACGUUUUGUUGUUAUCUAUAUAUAGAGAAUAACAGGUUAUUGUCCCAUCGUUUUGUAAUAUAUCAGGCGAGGCUUAGACAAAUAUGACGGCGAGGCUUGCCGAGCCGUUAUUUUAUUCGUGCAGAGCCUUAUAUAUUACACAACGAUGGGACAGUAACCUGUUUUUCUGUUUUCAUACCACAUUUUCCUAAAAAUCUGCAAAACAAUCCAUUUCUUUAUAUUUAAUAUGUACGGAUCCCCGCUGAUUUUGCUGAUCCGGCUUUUACACGUUGACAUACAUGUAGAAACGGUGUUCAAACAGACAACACGAAUAAUCACUUAUUUUAAACAUCGUAUAGAGAAAAAAAGUUGUUUGCACUAUGAAUGGGAAGAGUACAACCGCUUUAAUUAUAAACGUCUUGAAUUGGAGAUCAGGAAUGGACUGCAGUGACAAAUUUAAUCUAAGAACACACUUCACCGAAUAGUUUGGAGACGCCAUUUUGGAGAUGUGUAUUGAAAUUGACAUUUUGAUGAUGGUUUCAAUAAUGACAUAAGCGUGUUAAAUCGCUUGUUUAAAUAGUUGAGGAUAAGCAUACAGUUAUCAUUUGUCUUGACUUUCUGUGCAAAAUUUGCGAGUGCAAAGACUAUAUCGAUAUUUAAGAUUUAUUGCCCCAUUGAUGACGUCAUUUAACUUAUGCAGUGCCGGCUGUUGUGAUUUUUAAAAAAUAAACGUUUUUGUGAUUUAUGACUUUAAACUAGAAUAAAAUAUGUACGUUCUUGGUGUCAAAUUGUUUGUUUUGUUGAAUCUGAUUCAUGUUGAUAGAAAUUGUUGACUUUAUUGAAAAUCCCACGUAACUCCAAACAUUGACUGAUACAAGAACUUCCUGUUGACCAUGAUAUAAAAAAAUAUAUCAGGCAACGUUAUAUCAGGCAGAUAUCAAUGCGGUGGUAUGAUAAAAUAUUAUAUUGUGACAUUAGGAGAAUUGCCUAUAUAAAGUACAAAAUACAAUUAAUAUCAUGUAAGCAUGGAUGGCCAAGUGGUUUAAGCGCCAGACAUUUACUCCAAGGGUCAGUGGUUUGAACCCAGGUGUAGAUAACUUAUUUUUAGCUCAACUGAGCACAACGUGCUCAUGAUUAGCUUUUGUGAUUGCUUUUCGUGCGUCGUGAGCCGUCAACAUUUGCCUUGUUAACUCUCUAGAGGCCACAUUUAUAGUCCAAUCUUCAUUAAAUUUGGUCAGAAGAUUGGUCUUAAUCAUAUCUUGGAUGAGUUCGAAAAUGAUUACGUUUGCUUGAGAAACAUGGCUGCCAAGGGGCUGGGCAUUUUUCCUUAAAUGGCUAGAUAUGGCUAUAGUAAAAUCUUGUUAACACUAUAGAGGCCACAUUUACUGUCCAAUCUUCAUGAAACUUGGUCUGAAGAUUCACCCCAAUAAUAUCUUGGAAGAGUUCAAAAAUGAUGCCAGUUGGUUGAAAAACCUGGCCACCAUGGGGGCGGGGCAUUUUUCCUUAUAUGGCUAUAGUAAAACCUUGUUAAUACUAGAGGCCACAUUUAUUUUCCGAUCUUCAUGAAACUUGGUCAGAAGAUUUGUCCUAAGAAUAUCUUGUUAUCUCAGGUGAGCGACUUUGGGCCUUUCAGGCCCUCUUGUUAUUUAUUAUCCGCGCCAAAAUUUCGGAAGGGGGAUAUAGUAAUAGUCUCCAUCCGUUUGUCUGUCCGUCCGUCCUAAACUUGGUCCAGAGCAUAACUCCAAAUCUAUUCAAUGGAUUUACUUUAAACUUAGAUUAUAAACAGAUGGCAACUAGAGGAAGUGCAGUGACCAAGAACCAUAACUCUAUCUACCUAAGUUUUUAGCUCACCUGUGCACAACGUGCUCAUGGUGAGCUUUUGUGAUCACUUUUUGUCCGUCGUCCGUUGUGCGGCGUCAACAUUUGCCUUGUUAACUCAAUAGAGGCCACAUUUAUUGUCCGAUCUUCAUGAAAUUUGGUCCGAACAUUUGUUUGAUUGAUAUCUUGGAUGAGUUCGAAAAUGGUUACAUUUGCUUGAAAAACAUGGCUGCCAAGGGGCGGGGCAUUUUUCCUUAUAUGGCUAUAGUAAAAUCUUGUUAACACUCUAGAGGCCACAUUUAUUGUCUGAUCUUCAUAAAACUUGGUCAGAAGAUUCAUCCCAAUAAUAUGUUGGACGAGUUUGAAAAUGAUGCCGGUUGGUUGAAAAACAUGGCAUUUUUCCUUUUAUGGCUAUAGUAAAACCUUGUUUACAAUGUAGAGGCGACAUUUAUUUUCUGAUCUUCAUAAAAUUGCUCAGAAGAUUUGUCCCACUGAUAUCUUGGAUGAGUUAAAAAAUGGUAACCUUUGCUUGAAAAACAUGGCUGCCAAGGGGCGGGGCAUUUUUCCUUAUAUGGCUAUAUAUGGCUAUUGUAAAAUCUUGUUAACACUCUAGAGGCCACAUUUAUUGUCCAAUCUUUAUGAAACUUGGUCAGAAGAUUCAUCCCAAUAAUAUCUUGGACGAGUUCGAAAAUGAUGCCGGUUGGUUGAAAAACAUGGCUGCCAGGGGGCGGGGCAUUUUUCCUUAAAUGGCUAUAGUAAAACCUUGUUAACCCUCUAGAGGCCACAUUUAUUGUCCAAUCUUGAUGAAAUAUGGUCAGAAGAUUUGUCUUAAUGAUAUCUUGGAUGAGUUCGAAAAUGGUAACGUUUGCUGGAAAAACAUGGCUGCCAAGGGGCGGGGCAUUUGUCAUUAUAUGGCUAUAUAAGGCUAUAGUAAAAUCUUAUUAACACCGGUUGGUUGAAAAACAUUGCCACCACGGGGGCGGGGCUAUUUUCCUUAUAUGGCUAUAGUAAAACCUUGUUAACACUCUAGAGGUCACAUUUAUUUUCCGAUCAUCAUGAAACUUGGUCAGAAGAUUUGUCCCAAUGAUAUCUUGGAUGAGUUCGAAAAUGGUUUUGGUUGCUUUAAAAA
Long non-coding RNA from Dreissena polymorpha, 6221 nucleotides. RefSeq lists it as uncharacterized. NCBI's taxonomy places the organism in Eukaryota, Metazoa, Mollusca, Bivalvia, Myida, Dreissenidae. The record is from RefSeq and is a predicted model, not a curated record. The transcript has 2 exons.